AACGUAGCGUAGCUUCCCUCCUCCCCUCCUCUUCCUCCGCUCCGGGGGCCCUCGCCGUCGCCGUCGCCGGCCGGAGUGAAGCGCCGCCCGCGCUCCACGGGGCACGCGAUGGCCGCCGAAGGGGACGAAGAGGGGGCCGCGGCGCCCAAGGUGGUCGGGCUGGCGCUCAGCGGCUCCAAAUCCAGCGCGCACGUCCUCCGGUGGGCGCUCGGCAACUUCGCCCACGACGACGCCCCUCCCGCCGCCUUCAAGCUCAUCCACGUCCUCACCCCGGUCCUGGCCGUGCCCACGCCAAUGGGGCACCUCCUCCCGAUUGACGAAGUCAGCACCAGCGUCGCCGAAGGCGAGCUCGAGAAGAUGUGGAUCCAGAAGCAGGAAAUGCUGCAGCGCUGCAAAGACGCAUGUGACGAAAACAAGGUUGAAGCUCAAGUACUGCUUGUUGAGGGCAAAGAUGUCGCGGAUACCAUUUCCAGUCUUGUUUCUCAGUACCAGAUACAUAGCCUCGUUGUCGGUAACCCUCCCAGCAAGAGCCCAUUCACUAGGAGGUCCAGUGCAAGUAGGACGGCCUGCAAAAUUUGCAAGAGUCUCCCCAGCUUUUGCACAGCAUAUGUUGUUUCAAAGGAUGGAUUGUCUUCAGUUCAUGUUCCUGAAUCAGAAAGUGGCUCGCCCUCUGGCUCUCCAGUACCAACAGGCAACUCUGGGAGCUCCAGCACCAAAGAAGUUACAGAUGGAACGUCCUCAAGAUCAGAUUUGGAUGGCAGUUCAGCGCCGGGCCUGCCUAGUUUUACUCUGAACGAUUAUCUCACUGGAAAUGCACCAGUAUAUGCCAACAAGGACAGAAGAAUUGCCUCACGCACUGGUGCUGAAAGCUCUAUAUUAAGUCAAUUGCGGGGUUCGGACAAGGUGCCAACAAGUUCACUGCAGGAAUUAAUGCUUUCAGACAACAAGGAUGAUGUCAGUACAGGGCUUGAAAAGCUGAACCUUGAACCGAGUCAUAAUAGGCUGCUGGCAACGGCAUCCAAGGACGCUGAUAGGGAGUCGAGGCUGGAGAAGCCCCUUGUACUUCCAAGCGACUCGUACUCAAUGUUCACCUGGGAAGAGAUUGAUAAUGCUACAGCAUCGUUCUCACUCAAGAUCGGAACUGGGUCUAAUGGAACGGUAUACAAGGGCCAUCUCAAUCACUUGGAUGUAGCGAUAAAGGUCCUUCAUUCUGAUGACAAAUCCAGUACCAAGCAUUUCAACCAAGAGCUUGAGGUUCUGAGCAAGAUACGCCACCCACACUUGCUGAUGCUCCUGGGAGCCUGUCCAGACAGGGGCUGCUUGGUGUACGAGUACAUGGAGAACGGCAGCCUUGCGGAUCGUCUGCAGCGCAGAAAGGGCACACCGCCGAUCCCAUGGUUUGAUCGCUUCCGCAUUGCCUGGGAAAUUGGGUCAGCCCUGGUGUUCCUGCACAGCACAAAGCCCAGCCCAAUCAUCCACCGUGACCUGAAGCCUGAGAACGUCCUCCUCGACCGCAACCUAGUGAGCAAGAUUGGCGACGUGGGCCUGUCGACCCUGAUGCCACCCAAGGAGACUCUGUCGAACCGCACGGUGUACAAGAAGACGGGCCUGGCGGGCACACUGUUCUACCUGGACCCGGAGUACCAGAGGACCGGGCAGGUGUCGGUGAAGUCGGACACGUACGCGCUUGGCAUGGUGAUCCUUGAGCUGCUGACGGCAAGGUGCCCGAUCGGACUGCCUGAGGUGGUGGAGCGAGCAGUGGAAGACGGCCAGAUUAGUGAUGUCUUGGAUGAGAGCGCGGGGGACUGGCCCGUGAGGGAAGCGCAUGACCUUGCUCAGCUAGGCCUAAAUUGUUUGGAGAUGCGGAGCAAGGACCGGCCUGACCUCAACAGCGUGGUGCUGGAGGAGCUGGGACGGCUGAAGCGCAUCGCGGCCAGCGUGUCGGGGGUGGCGCUGCCAGGGUCACCCAGUCACUUCAAGUGCCCAAUACUCAAGACGGUGAUGUAUGACCCAUGCAUCGCGUCGGACGGGUACACGUACGAGCGCAGCGCGAUGGAGAUGUGGCUGUGCGACAAGGACGUGUCGCCGGUGACCAAGGCGCGGCUGCGUGACAAGACGCUGUUGCCUAACCUGUCUCUCAAGAGCGCCAUCAUGAGGUGGGUGGCCGAUGGGGGGAGGCCUGUGAAGGAGUAAGGCGCUCCAAUGGUAAAUACAUACUAGGAAGCUAGUCUAACAGAAGAGAGUGCUGCACAUAUCAUGGGGGCUUGGUUGGGUUAGGAGAGAAGGCUGAUGGUAUUGGUAUUGGUAUUGGUAUUGGUACAGAGAGUAGCCUGCACAUAUCAUGGGGACUUGGUGUCUGCAUAACGUGAAGGAGCAAUUUUGCAACGAUACUAUCAUACUAGAGUAGAUGUGUCGCUGCCCGUUAUAAGGCAAAGGAGUGGCCCAUGCUAUACUGGCCAAGAGAUGUGAUUUGAAGAUCAGCUAGCUGUAUGUUCCUUCUGUGGUGCUUGUUGAAAUUAUAGAAACAAGAUGAAUGAAAUGCAGGCGAGGGGAACAGGUUGAUCAAUGGAGCAACUUACCACAUCUUGCUCAGGGGCUGCAGUUUCCGCUGUAGAUCCAUCGUCUCCACGCUGGAGUACUGCUUGCCCCUCUUCGGCUCCUACGACAACCUCCUUCCAGCCGUCAAGAGUGGCUCCAUUCUCUCCUCCGACCUCGAGAGGGUGGUCAAGCCCAAUGCCGCCUUCCUACGCGAGUGCGGGCUAGGUGCCUGUGAUAUUGCCAGGCUCUGCAUACCUAGGCCAUCGCUGCUCAGCAUCAGCAUGGACCGCAUCCGGACAGCAGUGGCGUGCGUCGAAGGUCUUGGUGUACCCCGUGGAUCUCGGAUGUUCAAGCAUGCGCUACAAGCUGUUGCAUUCCUCAGCAAGGACAAAAUCACCGCCAAUGUAGAGCACUUGAAGAAAAUGUUCAGGUGGUCGGAUGCCGAGGUGGGCAUUGCUGUUUCUAAGGCUCCAAAGCUCCUGUCAAGGACCAAGGAAUUUCUGCACUUUAGGUCCGAGUUCCUCAUCUCCGAGGUGGGCUUGGAACCGGCAUACAUUGUUUAUCGUCCAGCAAUGCUCAUGUACAGCUUGGAGGGCAGGCUCAGACCCCGAUACUACGUUGUAAAGUUUCUCAAGGAAAAUGGAUUGCUAAGUCGCAAUCGGGAUUACUAUUCCGCAGUCAAGAUAACCGAGAAGGAAUUUGUGGAGAAGUUCAUAUGCCCUCACAAGGAAGCUGCACCACACCUUGCUAAAGAUUAUGCGGCAGCCUGCAAAGAUGAAGUGCCGACUAGAUUCAGAUUUACAUGAACCAAGACCAGUCUGAAAAUUCCUAACUGCAUAUGACAGGACAAAAUUUUCAUUCGUUCCUGAUUCAGUGUUGUUGGCCUAACUGAAUGGUGGUUGGCUGCUAUCUAUAAUUUGUAGUAUGUCUGUUACAUGCUCAUUUGGUGGUGCUAUUGAGGAUGAAACUGAUAUUUUUAUCAGGGGAGAUGAAACUGAUAUUUUGGUUUC
This is an RNA transcript of Triticum aestivum (bread wheat), 3548 nucleotides long. It is a transcript of the gene named U-box domain-containing protein 35, with no coding region annotated. The record is from RefSeq and is a predicted model, not a curated record. The transcript has 10 exons. Lineage: Eukaryota; Viridiplantae; Streptophyta; Magnoliopsida; Poales; Poaceae.